RNAcentral lists this ribosomal RNA (481 nucleotides) under uncultured bacterium. RNAcentral describes it as "partial 16S ribosomal RNA". It matches the Rfam family "Bacterial small subunit ribosomal RNA", at positions 28 to 523 of the family's 1533-position model. The record is from RNAcentral.
GACGAACGCUGGCGGCGUGCUUAACACAUGCAAGUCGAACGGUGAAAGGGAGCUUGCUCCCUGGAUCAGUGGCGAACGGGUGAGUAACACGUGGGCAACCUGCCCCAGACUUCGGGAUAACGCUUCGAAAGGAGUGCUAAUACCGGAUACGAACUCCUUGGGCAUCCUUGGGGUUGGAAAGUUUUUCGGUCUGGGAUGGGCCCGCGGCCUAUCAGCUUGUUGGUGAGGUAACGGCUCACCAAGGCGACGACGGGUAGCCGGCCUGAGAGGGCGACCGGCCACACUGGGACUGAGACACGGCCCAGACUCCUACGGGAGGCAGCAGUGGGGAAUAUUGCGCAAUGGGCGAAAGCCUGACGCAGCAACGCCGCGUGAGGGAUGACGGCCUUCGGGUUGUAAACCUCUUUCAGCAGGGAAGAAGCGAAAGUGACGAUACCUGCAGAAGAAGCACCGGCUAACUACGUGCCAGCAGCCGCCGUAA